RNAcentral lists this non-coding RNA (29 nucleotides) under Homo sapiens (human). Lineage: Eukaryota; Metazoa; Chordata; Mammalia; Primates; Hominidae. The record is from RNAcentral.
CGGUCAGGUUAUGGCCAUUGUGAAGCCUA